This 540-nucleotide ribosomal RNA is filed under the name uncultured bacterium. RNAcentral's name for it is "bacterial SSU rRNA". It matches the Rfam family "Bacterial small subunit ribosomal RNA", at positions 70 to 523 of the family's 1533-position model. The record is from RNAcentral.
UACUAACGACGUAGGCGAAGUCCGUUAGCCCGUAAGGACUAGGAACUUUUAGUCGACGUAGUUACUACGUAAAUGAAACGACGAGGUACGACGCGACGGCGGACGACGGGUGAGUAACACGUGGGGAACCUGCCCCAUAGUCUGGGAUACCACUUGGAAACAGGUGCUAAUACCGGAUAAGAAAGCAGAUCGCAUGAUCAGCUUAUAAAAGGCGGCGUAAGCUGUCGCUAUGGGAUGGCCCCGCGGUGCAUUAGCUAGUUGGUAAGGUAACGGCUUACCAAGGCGAUGAUGCAUAGCCGAGUUGAGAGACUGAUCGGCCACAUUGGGACUGAGACACGGCCCAAACUCCUACGGGAGGCAGCAGUAGGGAAUCUUCCACAAUGGACGCAAGUCUGAUGGAGCAACGCCGCGUGAGUGAAGAAGGUUUUCGGAUCGUAAAGCUCUGUUGUUGGUGAAGAAGGAUAGAGGUAGUAACUGGCCUUUAUUUGACGGUAAUCAACCAGAAAGUCACGGCUAACUACGUGCCAGCAGCCGCGGUAA